GGGGACAGAGAUGAAGGCUAGAGGCUGGGGGGGGGCAUAGAGACGAAAGGUCGAGGGUCAGAGGGGGACAUAGAGAUGAGAGCUAGAGGGUCAGAGGGGGAGCAUAGAGAUGAAAGGUAGAAGUUCAGAGAGGGGGCAUAGAGAUGAAAGGUAGAGGGUAAGACGGGGGACAGAUGAAGGCUAGAGGCUCGGGGGGGGGGGCAUAGAGACGAAAGGUCGAGGUCAGAGGGGGACAUAGAGAUGAGAGCUAGAGGGUCAGAGGGGGAGCAUAGAGAUGAAAGCUAGAGGGUCAGAGGGGGACAUAGAGAUGAAAGGUAGAGGGUCAGAGGGGGACAUAGAGAUGAAAGGUAGAGGGUCAGAGGGGGGACAUAUGAGAGGUAGAGGGUCAGAGGGGGACACGGAGAUGAAGGCUAGAAGGUCAGAGGGGGACAUAAAGAUGAAAGGUAGAGGGUCAGGAAGGGACAUAGAGAUGAAAGCUAGAGGGUGGGGGGCAUAGAGAUGAAAG
This 505-nucleotide long non-coding RNA is filed under the name Heterocephalus glaber (naked mole-rat). RNAcentral describes it as "lncRNA (ENSHGLG00100043009.1)". Lineage: Eukaryota; Metazoa; Chordata; Mammalia; Rodentia; Bathyergidae. The record is from RNAcentral.